RNAcentral lists this unclassified non-coding RNA (253 nucleotides) under uncultured Gammaproteobacteria bacterium. Its description in RNAcentral is "contains 16S-23S intergenic spacer region". It matches the Rfam family "Bacterial small subunit ribosomal RNA", at positions 524 to 776 of the family's 1533-position model. The record is from RNAcentral. Lineage: Bacteria; Pseudomonadati; Pseudomonadota; Gammaproteobacteria.
UACAGAGGGUGCGAGCGUUAAUCGGAAUUACUGGGCGUAAAGGGUGCGUAGGUGGCAAAAUAAGUUAGGUGUGAAAUCCCCGGGCUCAACCUGGGAACUGCGCUUAAAACUGUUUUGCUAGAGUACUGUAGAGGGAAGUGGAAUUUCCGGUGUAGCGGUGAAAUGCGUAGAUAUCGGAAGGAACACCAGUGGCGAAGGCGACUUCCUGGACAGAUACUGACACUGAGGCACGAAAGCGUGGGGAGCAAACAGG